AAACAGCCACCCUAUGUUUUGAUUCUUUAGCAGUUUUGGACCCCCAAGGUAAAAAAAAAAAAAAAAAUAUGACACGUGGCACCUCACUUAGGGUGCCACGUCAGCGUUGACCGAGUCAACAAUGGACUGGAGGUCCAAAACUGUCAAAGAAUAAAAACAUAGGGGGUUGUUU
Molecule: microRNA precursor, 172 nt
Filed under: Medicago truncatula (barrel medic)
Lineage: Eukaryota; Viridiplantae; Streptophyta; Magnoliopsida; Fabales; Fabaceae
Description: MIR2619 microRNA precursor family
Rfam family: MIR2619 microRNA precursor family
Source: Rfam by way of RNAcentral